Drosophila busckii is the source of this 501-nucleotide long non-coding RNA. RefSeq lists it as uncharacterized. The transcript is spliced from 2 exons. The record is from RefSeq and is a predicted model, not a curated record. NCBI's taxonomy places the organism in Eukaryota, Metazoa, Arthropoda, Insecta, Diptera, Drosophilidae.
GUCACUAACUGCGAGGAAACAGCAGCGGCGGCUAGCAGUGCUGUGUGUGUGUUUGCGUGUGUGCGCGACGAAAAAGUAUAAAUCGUAGCGAGCUGAAGAAAAAAACGUGUGAAAAUUUAUAGAAAGAACGACGCCUUAAAAUCCUUCGUCUAUUGUCGUCUAUUCGUGGUCGUCGUCGUCGUUUUUUGUCAACGUUCUCACGUCGUGGUUAACGCAACACUCUCUCUUCAGCUACAAUAACAAGAACCACAGGCAACAAUUAGUUGCAAAAAGAAAAUCGUAUACACAUUGCUUUAACGGGGAUCGCAUCGCCAGCAUCUACAAGAAGUCAAAUCAGAGAGGAGGAAGCAUAAAGAAGAAGAGCAAGCAGUAGCAUAAAAAAAAGUCAAGCAAAGGUACAGCAGACUAGAAGAAAUUCCAAUAAGAGGCUUACAAAAUGCAACAACAGACGACGGCUAAAAUGUAAAUGGGAGGGAAAGCAAAGUAAAACAAAAAAAAAAA